AAGGGAGAGGAAUAGGUAGAAAUCUACCCUCGGGACGGGGAUAGCGGCGGGAAACUGCCGGUAAUACCCGAUAACAUCUUCGGAUCAAAGGUGUGAUUCCGCCUGGGGAUGAGUCUACUUCCUAUUAGCUUGUUGGCGGGGUAAUGGCCCACCAAGGCAACGAUGGGUAGCGGGUGUGAGAGCAUGACCCGCCUCACUGGGACUGAGAACUGCCCAGACACCUACGGGUGGCUGCAGUCGAGAAUCUUCGGCAAUGGGCGCAAGCCUGACCGAGCGACGCCGCGUGCGGGAUGAAGGCCUUCGGGUUGUAAACCGCUGUCGUAGGGGAACAAAUUUACGGGGGUUCUCCCCUGUAAUUGAGUGAUCCUAGGAGGAAGGAGAGGCUAAGCUCGUGCCAGCAGCCGCGGUAAGACGAGCUCUCCAAACGUUAUUCAGUAUCACUGGGCUUAAAGAGUUCGUAGGCGGCCUUGCAGGUGAGGUGUGAAAGCCCUCGACUCAACCGGGGAACUGCGCUUCAAACCGCAAGGCUGGAGGGAGAUAGAGGUGAGCGGAACAGAUGGU
Molecule: ribosomal RNA, 561 nt
Filed under: uncultured bacterium
Lineage: Bacteria
Description: bacterial SSU rRNA
Rfam family: Bacterial small subunit ribosomal RNA
Source: RNAcentral